RNAcentral lists this unclassified non-coding RNA (607 nucleotides) under Hevea brasiliensis (rubber tree). Lineage: Eukaryota; Viridiplantae; Streptophyta; Magnoliopsida; Malpighiales; Euphorbiaceae. The record is from RNAcentral.
AAAGUUCCAAAAAAAAUCAUGCCAUGGAGCAACUUGAAACAAAAAUAUGGCGUUAAUUUCAAUUACAAUCAAGGAAAAGAGAAUUGCAAGACUAUAACUAAAGAAUAUAUUAUUUGCAAGUGGCAGAAAGACCAAAGGCAGAAUUUAUGGAGUGGAAGAAGAAAAAUUGAGCAACUUAACAAAUUAGCUUAUCCAAAACUGUUGACCCUAAAUAAAAUCAACCCACUGCAUCAAAAUCACAAGUCUGAUGUUUCCGAGAGUUGAAACUAAUACAUCAAAUGGGUGCCCCCUUCAGUGGAACUGGCCAUUUUCAAAUAGGCAUUUUGUCUUUAUCUGUCAUCUUGUUAAAACAAAACUUCAGAGAAUGUCAAAGUUGGUUGUCUCACAUUAGUCUGUAAAGGUACUGUUAAGGGUUUCUAUUAGGCAUGGACCUCUUUGCCUACAAAUUAAACCUUUGGUUAAAUUCUCUAUUGUAGUAUCAUAAGCCUGAAUUGGUUUGUGAGAGCUCCAAAUAUAUACUUGGUUGCUGGUUUACAACCUAUCCGGGUAAUUAUCAUACGCGAUCAUUCAACUUUUACAAGUAUUUUCAUAAAAGUCACUGAAUUUU